UACGGGGGGAGCAAGCGUUGUUCGGAUUUACUGGGCGUAAAGGGCGCGUAGGCGGCGUAACAAGUCACUUGUGAAAUCUCUGGGCUUAACUCGGAGCGGUCAAGUGAUACUGUUGUGCUAGAGUGCGGAAGGGGCUACUGGAAUUCUCGGUGUAGCGGUGAAAUGCGUAGAUAUCGAGAGGAACACCUGCGGCGAAGGCGGGUAGCUGGGCCGACACUGACGCUGAAGCGCGAAAGCUAGGGGAGCGAACGGG
This 253-nucleotide ribosomal RNA is filed under the name uncultured bacterium. RNAcentral's name for it is "partial 16S ribosomal RNA". It matches the Rfam family "Bacterial small subunit ribosomal RNA", at positions 524 to 776 of the family's 1533-position model. The record is from RNAcentral.